AACUACCACCUUCCUUUAUUUCUCCAGUUCGGAGCCAUUAUUGUUCUUCCUAAUUUCCAACACCAACAUCACAUUUGUUCAAUUCUCAAUAGCUGCAUAUUCAAAUUCCAGUACGUACAUUAUAUAGGCUAAGGCCAGCGGAGCCAAAAACAUAUUCUAUAUAUACUUGUUGUUGACAUUGAUCCUCGUAAGACCCAAGAACUAGUUGGUGACGUCGUAGUUGCUCCGAUCCACAAGACCGUCCCGCCAUUGAUGAAAGUCGUAGCUUUGCUGUCAAUCUUAGGCUCGGCGACCCAGUUUCGCCGGUCUUCGUAAAUCGGCCAAACUUUAUAUGCCUUCAGGACGAAAUCGUCUCUGUAGUAUUUGUCUCCCUUUCGAAUCCUCAGGCGAAACUGGGUGACCGAGCCUGGGAUUGCGUAAAUCUAUGUUGUCGUGUAUGGAUGAGGCGUUGCGUCAUCCUAGUGAGCACAACAAUCGUGAGACAAACUUUAUCAGUCAGAGGUUACGCAUAAUUCUGGCUGCAUUCUUUGUGCCAUUGGUGGUGAUCUCCUCUGCUGCGACAGCUGUAUCUCAACGUAUCAUCAGCCCUCCAUGGAUAUAAUACACGUACUGCAAUAUGAUUAUGCAGCUAGUGUGAAUUGAACAAAUGUGAUGUUCGUGUUGGAAAUUAGGAAUAACAAUGGCUACGGAACUGGAGAAAUAAAGGAAGGUGGUAGUUAUUUUACUGAAUUAGUGUAUUAAUCAUCCAUCCUAAAAUAAAAAAUAAAAAUUAAAAAAGUGAAAUAUCA
This is a long non-coding RNA of Ipomoea triloba (trilobed morning glory), 788 nucleotides long. RefSeq lists it as uncharacterized. The transcript is spliced from 2 exons. The record is from RefSeq and is a predicted model, not a curated record. Lineage: Eukaryota; Viridiplantae; Streptophyta; Magnoliopsida; Solanales; Convolvulaceae.